CCUACGGGAGGCUGCAGUGAGGAAUAUUGGUCAAUGGACGAGAGUCUGAACCAGCCAAGUAGCGUGAAGGAUGACUGCCCUAUGGGUUGUAAACUUCUUUUAUAUGGGAAUAAAAUGUUCCACGUGUGGGAUUUUGUAUGUACCAUAUGAAUAAGGAUCGGCUAACUCCGUGCCAGCAGCCGCGGUAAUACGGAGGAUCCGAGCGUUAUCCGGAUUUAUUGGGUUUAAAGGGAGCGUAGGUGGAUUGUUAAGUCAGUUGUGAAAGUUUGCGGCUCAACCGUAAAAUUGCAGUUGAAACUGGCAGUCUUGAGUACAGUAGAGGUGGGCGGAAUUCGUGGUGUAGCGGUGAAAUGCUUAGAUAUCACGAAGAACUCCUAUUGCGAAGGCAGUUCACUGGACUGCAACUGACACUGAGGCUCGAAAGUGUGGGUAUCAAACAGGAUUAGAUACCCUUGUAGUC
Molecule: ribosomal RNA, 460 nt
Filed under: uncultured bacterium
Lineage: Bacteria
Description: partial 16S ribosomal RNA
Rfam family: Bacterial small subunit ribosomal RNA
Source: RNAcentral